RNAcentral lists this long non-coding RNA (341 nucleotides) under Amborella trichopoda. RNAcentral describes it as "long non-coding RNA (ATRI_LNC004743)". The record is from RNAcentral. Lineage: Eukaryota; Viridiplantae; Streptophyta; Magnoliopsida; Amborellales; Amborellaceae.
GAAGAAUGAAGAUGAAAUUAUUACGUAAUUUUGAUAUAAUGAGGAAUUUUAAGUGCAAGUCAUGUAAUAUGUUGUAGAGAUAUACAUUCUGAGUAUUUGGAUAUUGUAUUGAGUUUAAUUAUAUUUUUGAGCAAGGGAUUUGUAAGGGACCUAUUAGAGUUGAAUUGAUAUUAUUUAAAUAUGUAUAAACCAUGUUUAUAGGUUGUAAUAUAUGCAUUAUGGUUUUGUAUGGAGAUAUUCAUGUAUUUAAACAUUUGAGUUUUAAUACAAUGAAAGUUUUUUAAAAGAUUGCCAUUUCUAGCCCAUUGGUCAUAUACCACCAGCAAAUGGUGUCACAGCAG